GUGCGAGACCUGGGGGUGGGGGGCACGGGGAUGGUCGCACACUGGCUGCAACCCGGGCAGAAGCAGGGCCAGCUUGUCCCCCAGGGCCCCGCCCAACCUGCCUCUCACAGCGCCCUGGAGGGGGAGCACCGCCAUUGGGAUGGGGUGGGGGGCACUAUCCGUCUCCAUGGCCUGUGCGCUCUUUUGUGGCCGCCCCCCCAGGGUUGGUUGCGACGUGCCCCUCUGGCCUAGCCUGUCGCUGACGGAGGAGAGGGCACCCGGCCCUGAACGGGUGCAUCUCCUACCAACCCCCUGGAGCCGUGCAGGCCCUCCGCUUACCCCCUGUGCCCCUUAGAAUCACUACGGGGCGACGGCCCCUGCUAUGCCCAGGCUGGUUGUCUAAAAGAUCUGCUCUAGGCACCAUUUUGGGGGCAGCUCUGUAGCCCAUGUUAUAUAGGAGGUCAGACAAGAUGGUCACAAAGGUCCCGUCGGGCCCCCUCAGCCUCUAAUCCCUGGCUAACCUAGAACCAGCACACGGGCACAACACACUCUUAAUAACUUUUAAGAUGUCCUAUAAGCAAAGCCACAGUAUGGGAAGGGGAGGAAAAGAGAGUAUUACAGUUUACAGAAAACGUCAUGCAUCUUGUGAUGUGUAUCAUUUUUAAUAGCAAAAAGACACCACACAGCAGCCAGACACGGUAAUGAUUAACCUAGUCCUCAACUUGGCUUUGAGCCCCACGUUAUCACUGGAAAAUCAUCCUAGAGCCAGAGAGAAUCAAUCUACCACACAAAGGACAGCUCAGACAAAAUAAGGAGGCAAUGUACCAGCCUCCAUUUAAACACCAAUCUGGGACAAGGAACAGUGGGUAUGAAUAAAGGAUAGUUCCAUUAGUAAGUACCAAGAGGCCAUCCUGUUUAAACUUCAUUAUUCCCACCAGAGACAAUAACUAUGGGCCAUGCUUUUUGCUUCUAGGUGUUAUUGUGAAAUGAAUAAUGUGUAAGCAUUUUGUUCCCAUGAGAAAACUGGUUACAGAGUCCAGUGACUGUUACAAAUGUCUUAAUAGAUCAAAACUAUGACUUUUAGAGUCUUUUCUUUACAUGUCUCCUACAAGACAUGGUGUGGCGAAAGUGGGGGCAUUUUCUUGGUUUUUUCAAGUUUGCAUGUAGAGGGGGUGGGACUCAGUUUCCCUGGGUGUUACUGGUUUAACGAGGUGAUGGGAGAGGGAGUUUGUUGUUACAGAGGCCCAGCGACGGAACUUGAGACUCCAGUCAAUGGCCAGGAGAAUGGAUACCCCAGCGAUUGGUGACCAGGAGCCCCAGCUCGGCCAACACAGAGGGUUCUGGCCAGUGGGAGGACAAUGGGCUGCAGAGAGAGGACCCCAAUGACCUGACCAGCUGGGUCCAGCUAGUGGGCUAAAAGGAGAGGAGGCCCAGGCAACCCUGUUUACUUGAACAAAAGAUAAAGGACAAAGGCGGGGCUUGGGAGCAGGUGAUAGUGGAUGCCCAGCUGGAAAGCAGGGGGUCUCUGAGCGGGAGAGGGAGAGAAAGAGAGCCCACGAGGAUGUAGGGGAGACUUAGAUGUACUGUGCUGAAGGAGGCCAGGCCUGAGGGCCCUGAGAGUUUCCUGUACUGUGUUCAGACGCUCAGUAAACCCUCCUAUUUUACACUGAAUGAGAGUCGCUCCAGUCUAGAGAACAGGGGUGCAUUAUUCCCUCUGGGAGCAGAGGCCCUGGGCUUCCAGAGUGAGUGGACUCCCUGAGGGGGCCCAUGACGAGAGACAGGUUUGCUAAAGGCUCAGAGAGGUGUGGUGCCAAGAGGUGGAGGGGUUUAACCACCAAGAGUGGACCCCCGAGGAGGAUGAAGUGAGCUGUAGCUCACGAAAGCUUAUGCUCAAAUAAAUGUUAGUCGCUAAGGUGCCACAAGUACUCCUUUUCUUUUUUCACUGAAGAGGGUUCCCCCCCAGGGACUGUAUAGGGCCAAGAGUGGACAUGACCUAUGAGUCCGUGACACAUGGCAACACACAGCACUUGAAAACCCUGAUAAUAGCAAAUGUUAAUUAAGUUAAAUAUUAAGCCUCUUAAAUAUUUGCAAGAGAAGAGCAACUUUUAACUUUUAAUCUAAACAAAAAGAAUCCAGCGGUCAUUUGGUUUCCCAGCAGCAAUUGGAAAUGCCAGCCUUUGCAGAUACCCCCAUAUGCUCUCCUGUGAUGCUCCCCAGGGUUACUCAGGGUUGUGAGGCACCUCACCACUGCCUGCUCUUAGCAUGAAAUAGUCAUGUCUGUGCCUGUUGUGGGUCAGUACCCUGAAACCACCAGACUCUAGCAGCAAAACACCACUUUCCAGGCCUUGCUCUCUCUCUCUACAGGUAGUGUGAUAGGCACACACCAACCCCUGAAUACUCAGAGCAUUCUCUGGAGCAUCCAGCCCCUUAUCCACUGAACACUCACACAAUCACCAGGCCUGCUGUUCCCAAAGGUUGAACAUGUCCUUCCUCCCUCGAAAGCUGUUAAGACAUCAGUUGUACUGGAGAGAGAGAGCCCUAGUCACAGGCAAAGAAAGCCCUGCAUCCAACCAGCACUGCCACCCCUUCCCCUUGGGGAAGAUCCGCUACCUGUAGACAACCAGCUGGGUGAUCUUGAAUCGCAAAGUGCACAGGUGACUUCUCACUCCAUGCCAAUAUCUUGUGCUCGUGCCUUAAGAGGCGAUACUCUGGUCAUUUGGUGCCAGGCUCCCUGACUAAAUGGCCAUUUGCUAACGCUGCAUUAUUUCAAGGUCUCGCCCUAUCCCUCCCAUCAGGAUUGGAAACUAUAUUCUAGAACUGCUGCCUCCAUUGCACAAAAUCUUGGAAAACGGCCCUGACUCAGGGCAAUGACUUUUAAAUUGGGGUCUCUUCUCUCUCCACUGGGAGUAGAGGGGAACAGCACAGGAAUGGAAGUUGUAGGCCCCCUAAUCCAGCCCAACGUAUGCACGCUCACUCGUUGCUGAGUCUGCAGGUAAAACCAUGCAUCUUCCCACCCUGCUCCCACUGUCCUUAAGGGAAGCAGCUGUGGAGUCAGCUCACACAUCCAGGCAUGCAGGCUCCAGCAGUGCCCAGCUAGUUCAAACUUCUCUCCUCCGCUCAGCCCAGCCUUGGGCAACCUUCACGGACACCCUCACCUCCCGUAGCAUGAAGCUUUCUGGGAAGUGGGAGAAUGGGGAGAGGGAAGAGGACAAAUGGCAGCAAAACACAAUGUAAACAGGGGAAAGGGGGAGAAGAAGAAAAGAAAAAGAAAAACAGAAAAAACAAGAGGAAAAGAG
This is a long non-coding RNA of Dermochelys coriacea (leatherback sea turtle), 3275 nucleotides long. RefSeq lists it as uncharacterized. The record is from RefSeq and is a predicted model, not a curated record. The transcript is spliced from 4 exons. Lineage: Eukaryota; Metazoa; Chordata; Testudines; Dermochelyidae.